This 66-nucleotide transfer RNA is filed under the name Marmota monax (woodchuck). Its description in RNAcentral is "tRNA.Ser". The record is from RNAcentral. Lineage: Eukaryota; Metazoa; Chordata; Mammalia; Rodentia; Sciuridae.
GGUUGUGGCUCAGUGGUAGAAUGCUUGCCUAGAAUGCAUGAAUACUGGAUUCAAUCCCCUGAAUCA